CCUACGGGAGGCAGCAGUGGGGAAUAUUGCACAAUGGGGGAAACCCUGAUGCAGCGACGCCGCGUGAGUGAAGAAGGAUUUCGGUAUGUAAAGCUCUAUCAGCAGGGAAGAAAAUGACGGUAACUGAUUAGGAAGCACCGGCUAACUACGUGCCAGCAGCCGCGGUAAUACGUAGGGGGCAAGCGUUAUCCGGAUUUACUGGGUGAAAAGGGAGCGUAGACGGCAGAACAAGUCUGGAGUGAAAUGCCGGGGCUUAACCCCGGAACUGCUUUGGAAACUGUGCAGCUAGAGUGCAGGAGAGGUAAGUGGAACUCCUAGUGUAGCGGUGAAAUGCGUAGAUAUUAGGAGGAACACCAGUGGCGAAGGCGGCUUACUGGACUGUAACUGACGUUGAGGCUCGAAAGCGUGGGGAGCAAACAGGAUUAGAUACCCUAGUAGUC
RNAcentral lists this ribosomal RNA (440 nucleotides) under uncultured bacterium. RNAcentral's name for it is "partial 16S ribosomal RNA". It matches the Rfam family "Bacterial small subunit ribosomal RNA", at positions 338 to 795 of the family's 1533-position model. The record is from RNAcentral.